ACUCAACACGGGGAAUCUCACCAGGUCCGGACAUCGGAAGGAUUGACAGACUGAUAGAUCUUUCAUGAUUCGGUGAAUGGUGGUGCAUGGCCGUUCUUGGUUGGUGGAGUGAUUUGUCUGGUUUAUUCCGUGAACGAGCGCAACCACAGCCUCUAUUUUGGCCGUACGAAAGGCUACUGCCCUGUGUGUGGYGUGUUUACGCACACUGUGCGCAGGGUGCGUAUGUGAAUUUGCCACUAAUCGUGCUGGCACGCUAAGUUUCCAUCAUGUGGGUGAUGCACGUGUGCGUAUCUCUGUGAGACAUGUGUGUGUUGUUGAUGUGCAUUCCAAACGCUGUUGUGCUGCGCCAGCAUGUAUGCUGGCAAUGGACUAGAUGACGAUCGUGAUGACUCGCCAGGCUGUCCGUUGUACUGUGUUGGUGAUUUGUGUGUGGCAGCGGUGCGUCAAUGGUGCGCACAUGUUCUUGCAGUAGGAUGCGUUACUGUGCACUGUUUGUGUGGUGGAAAUGUGUCAGAUAUAUGUCGAUUGGUGGGUGUUCGUGCGCCUUCAUAGAGGGACUACCGGUGGCAAAUCGGUGGAAGUGUGGCAAUAGCAGGUCAGUGAUGCCCUUCGAUGUUCUGGGCUGCACGCGUGCUACAAUGGUUACGACAAUGAGUGUGUUUUCUGCRUCGAAAGRUGUGGGUAAUCUUCUGAAUCGUCGCCGUGCUGGGGAUUGAGCCUUGAAAUUAUUGCUCAUGAACCUGGAAUUCCUCGUAAGUACGAGUCACCAGCUCGUGCUGAAUACGUCUCUGCCCUUUGUACACACCGCCCGUCGCUACUACCGAUUGAAUGAUUUGGUGAGGGCAUGGGAUUGAUCGGCCUCGUCAUCUCUUUAUGGGAUGUGUAGACUGGUCGAGAGCCUGUCCAAGCUGCAUCAGUCAGAGAAG
Molecule: ribosomal RNA, 926 nt
Filed under: Sphaerospora rutili
Lineage: Eukaryota; Metazoa; Cnidaria; Myxozoa; Bivalvulida; Sphaerosporidae
Description: partial 18S ribosomal RNA
Rfam family: Eukaryotic small subunit ribosomal RNA
Source: RNAcentral